UACGGAGGGUGCAAGCGUUAUCCGGAUUCACUGGGUUUAAAGGGUGCGUAGGUGGGAAUGUAAGUCAGUGGUGAAAUCUCCGUGCUUAACAUGGAAACUGCCAUUGAUACUAUGUUUCUUGAAUUUUCUGGAGGUCAGCGGAAUAUGUCAUGUAGCGGUGAAAUGCUUAGAUAUGACAUAGAACACCAAUUGCGAAGGCAGCUGGCUACACGAAUAUUGACACUGAUGCACGAAAGCGUGGGGAUCAAACAGG
Molecule: ribosomal RNA, 253 nt
Filed under: uncultured bacterium
Lineage: Bacteria
Description: partial 16S ribosomal RNA
Rfam family: Bacterial small subunit ribosomal RNA
Source: RNAcentral